This is a regulatory RNA element of Olsenella uli DSM 7084, 78 nucleotides long. It matches the Rfam family "c-di-GMP-I riboswitch aptamer". From Rfam's summary of the family: GEMM was predicted in a large-scale screen for bacterial structured RNA regulatory elements. Genes associated with GEMM are involved in a diverse array of functions, including chemotaxis regulation, signal transduction, secretion and chitin. The record is from Rfam. Lineage: Bacteria; Bacillati; Actinomycetota; Coriobacteriia; Coriobacteriales; Atopobiaceae.
AAUAUGUCCUGGCAAACCCAUCGAAAGGUGGGGACGCAAAGCUAUAGGGCCUUGUGCGCAUGGCAGCCAGCUGCGGUU